RNAcentral lists this ribosomal RNA (504 nucleotides) under uncultured bacterium. RNAcentral describes it as "partial 16S ribosomal RNA". It matches the Rfam family "Bacterial small subunit ribosomal RNA", at positions 28 to 506 of the family's 1533-position model. The record is from RNAcentral.
GACGAACGCUGGCGGCGUGCCUAAUACAUGCAAGUAGAACGCACAGUUUAUACCGUAGCUUGCUACACCAUAGACUGUGAGUUGCGAACGGGUGAGUAACGCGUAGGUAACCUGCCUGGUAGCGGGGGAUAACUAUUGGAAACGAUAGCUAAUACCGCAUAAUAUUGAUUAUUGCAUGAUAAUUGAUUGAAAGAUGCUAUUGCAUCACUACCAGAUGGACCUGCGUUGUAUUAGUUAGUAGGUGAGGUAACGGCUCACCUAGGCGACGAUACAUAGCCGACCUGAGAGGGUGAUCGGCCACACUGGGACUGAGACACGGCCCAGACUCCUACGGGAGGCAGCAGUAGGGAAUCUUCGGCAAUGGACGAAAGUCUGACCGAGCAACGCCGCGUGAGUGAAGAAGGUUUUCGGAUCGUAAAGCUCUGUUGUAAGAGAAGAACGGGUGUGAGAGUGGAAAGUUCACACUGUGACGGUAUCUUACCAGAAAGGGACGGCUAACUACGU